GCGGGAGUAGUUCAAUUUUUAGAACACGUUCCUUCCCGAAACGAGAUAUAGGUGUAAGUCCUAUCUUCCGCUCCA
Molecule: transfer RNA, 75 nt
Filed under: Staphylococcus pettenkoferi
Lineage: Bacteria; Bacillati; Bacillota; Bacilli; Caryophanales; Staphylococcaceae
Description: tRNA-OTHER
Rfam family: tRNA
About the family: Transfer RNA (tRNA) molecules are approximately 80 nucleotides in length. Their secondary structure includes four short double-helical elements and three loops (D, anti-codon, and T loops). Further hydrogen bonds mediate the characteristic L-shaped molecular structure. tRNAs have two regions of fundamental functional importance: the anti-codon, which is responsible for specific mRNA codon recognition, and the 3' end, to which the tRNAs corresponding amino acid is attached (by aminoacyl-tRNA synthetases). tRNAs cope with the degeneracy of the genetic code in two manners: having more than one tRNA (with a specific anti-codon) for a particular amino acid; and 'wobble' base-pairing, i.e. permitting non-standard base-pairing at the 3rd anti-codon position.
Source: RNAcentral